RNAcentral lists this ribosomal RNA (469 nucleotides) under Ralstonia pickettii. RNAcentral describes it as "bacterial SSU rRNA". It matches the Rfam family "Bacterial small subunit ribosomal RNA", at positions 30 to 486 of the family's 1533-position model. Lineage: Bacteria; Pseudomonadati; Pseudomonadota; Betaproteobacteria; Burkholderiales; Burkholderiaceae. The record is from RNAcentral.
AUUGAACGCUGGCGGCAUGCCUUACACAUGCAAGUCGAACGGCAGCAUGAUCUAGCUUGCUAGAUUGAUGGCGAGUGGCGAACGGGUGAGUAAUACAUCGGAACGUGCCCUGUAGUGGGGGAUAACUAGUCGAAAGAUUAGCUAAUACCGCAUACGACCUGAGGGUGAAAGUGGGGGACCGCAAGGCCUCAUGCUAUAGGAGCGGCCGAUGUCUGAUUAGCUAGUUGGUGAGGUAAAGGCUCACCAAGGCGACGAUCAGUAGCUGGUCUGAGAGGACGAUCAGCCACACUGGGACUGAGACACGGCCCAGACUCCUACGGGAGGCAGCAGUGGGGAAUUUUGGACAAUGGGCGAAAGCCUGAUCCAGCAAUGCCGCGUGUGUGAAGAAGGCCUUCGGGUUGUAAAGCACUUUUGUCCGGAAAGAAAUGGCUCUGGUUAAUACCUGGGGUCGAUGACGGUACCGGAGAUA